UACAGAGGUGGCAAGCGUUGUUCGGAAUUACUGGGCGUAAAGGGCGCGUAGGCGGUCUUUUAAGUUCCGUGUGAAAUCCCUCGGCUCAACUGGGGAACUGCACGGGAAACUGGGAGGCUUGAGUUCGGGAGAGGGAAGCGGAAUUCCGGGUGUAGCGGUGAAAUGCGUAGAUAUCCGGAGGAACACCGGUGGCGAAGGCGGCUUCCUGGACCGACACUGACGCUGAGGCGCGAAAGCUAGGGGAGCAAACGGG
This 253-nucleotide ribosomal RNA is filed under the name uncultured bacterium. RNAcentral's name for it is "partial 16S ribosomal RNA". It matches the Rfam family "Bacterial small subunit ribosomal RNA", at positions 524 to 776 of the family's 1533-position model. The record is from RNAcentral.